GAUGAACGCUGGCGGCGUGCCUAAUACAUGCAAGUCGAGCGAACAGACGAGGAGCUUGCUCCUCUGACGUUAGCGGCGGACGGGGGAGUAACACGUGGAUAACCUACCUAUAAGACUGGGAUAACUUCGGGAAACCGGAGCUAAUACCGGAUAAUAUAUUGAACCGCAUGGUUCAAUAGUGAAAGACGGUUUUGCUGUCACUUAUAGAUGGAUCCGCGCCGCAUUAGCUAGUUGGUAAGGUAACGGCUUACCAAGGCAACGAUGCGUAGCCGACCUGAGAGUGUGGUCGCCCACACUGGAACUUAGACACGGUCCAGACUCCUACGGGAGGCCGCAGUAGGGAAUCUUCCGCAAAGGGCGAAAGCCUGACGGAGCAACGCCGCGUGAGUGAUGACGGUCUUCCGAUCGUAAAACUCUGUUAUUAGGGAAGAACAAAUGUGUAAGUAACUAUGCACGUCUUGACGGUACCUAAUCAGAAAGCCACGGCUAACUACGUG
Molecule: ribosomal RNA, 497 nt
Filed under: uncultured bacterium
Lineage: Bacteria
Description: partial 16S ribosomal RNA
Rfam family: Bacterial small subunit ribosomal RNA
Source: RNAcentral